ACUCUUUGUUUUAAGUAGUAAUGUCACCUGCAGCACUGACUGCCAGUUUUCUCCUUAGAUAUUGAGGUGGUGCUGCCUCUGCUGCCUUCUUGGUAUCUCUGUCUUCCACCUUUCUAACCGGGGUUUACCCAUCCCUCCAGCCUAUGUUAUUUGCCCUAUGCCUGCUGCAGGAGGGUGGGCUCUGGAGUCACUCCUCUAUUAUUCUCUGGCUCCUUGGCUUCUGUCAUUUUUGUGGAAAUCCAUCCUACCUUCCCAACACGCAGCACUGGCCCCCAGACCUAAUCUUCUAUCUAUGCCACUCCCUUCAAGUCUUAGAUAUCCAGAAGCUGCUUUUCUCCAGCAAAGGAGCUAAACUUGAUUUAUAAACUCUAUGGUUGUGAUCAGUGCAGGUGACUGCUCAACUUCUUUUAAGCCUCUCCUUUUCCCUAGAAGGCUUUUCAGUUGCAAGAUCCUUUGUACUCACCUCAUGGACUUGCUGACCACAGCAAUUGCAGUGGGAAGCCUUCCAGAGCCGCAUUGCCUUGUGCAUGACUCAAUUCAGGUUAAUGGCUUUUUAAUCCUUCAUGGAUAGUAAAACAAUUACCAGGAGGCAAAAGCAGUAAUUACACAGAGCAGAAUAAAUGCACGUGGUCAGACCCUCUGCUAACAUAAAUAGAUUUUGAGAGAUCUAUUACUACAAAACCUCUCCUGCCCUUCUUUUUCCCCAGAAGAGGAAUUUAACAUCAUUUCUUCAGUCCUCUAAAACAUUUUCAUAGAAGAUUAAGUGGUAGUGCGUCAGAGAUCUCCUGAGACAAUUCAUUUCAGUUGUGAGGAUGAGUUUCAGUUGUGAGUUGUGAGUUUUUUAAGACAAUGUAAUGAAUGUGGAACACAUGGGAGUUCAUGCACCUGCUGACUAAAGAAGAUUAUCCCAAAGUAUCCUGAAGCU
This is a long non-coding RNA of Pezoporus occidentalis (night parrot), 925 nucleotides long. RefSeq lists it as uncharacterized. The record is from RefSeq and is a predicted model, not a curated record. NCBI's taxonomy places the organism in Eukaryota, Metazoa, Chordata, Aves, Psittaciformes, Psittacidae. The transcript has 4 exons.